GGGGAGUGUUAGUUGUGUCGGGGUAUCUUUAGGGGUAGCGGCGGCGAGGGAGGGUGGAACAAGCAAACGGCGGUACAGACACCGCAGAAGGAAGAGAGACUGGCAGGGUCGACUGAAGGACGAGGGAGAGUUGGGCAUAGGAAAAACGCCGCUGCUCUAGCGCUGCGCUGCUUGCAGCGUUCCUGCCCUCUGUUCCGCCCAGUAGCCAAGAUGUUCACAUCUUUUAUGCUAACUAUGUCUCUGUAACUAUAAACUUUCCACGUAUUCGAAGGUGUGGUUGUCAGCUACCCUUGUUGGUCUUAGUACGUGACUACAGAGUUUUGUAAAAGACGUAAACUUUCAUCUACCCUCGUACAUUGGUCAAUGAAACAACCGUAAAUUGUUUAGCUUCUUCUAUACGUGGUCCAAAAAGUCCAAUUAAAAGACGUCAGUACGUAUAGUUCAACAAGGUAAGCCUUACGUUUAGAAAAAGACGUUCCUACCGUACAACACUUGUUGUUGGAAAACAUAGAUGUUGUUUUGAAACGAUGGACGUGAUUGAAACGUUGUCAACCUAUUAAAAGAGACCUAAAUAAAGAAACAGUUACGCGGCGUGGUCGCUGAUGGUGAAGCCGCUACUGACAGCAAAAGAGGUAGUGAAGGGGUGGUACCUGUACUAGUCCGAUAAAUGCUUUUUUCUACUUGUUGACCUGGAUCCGCGACUCCCCUCGAGUCCUUCGGUUACACAGAACCCUCGUCGAAGUUCUGGUCCGAUACGUACUCGAAACAGCAGCCCCCACGGUGAACCGGCUACCGUUUCAACUCGACGCGUACGGUCUGCGUAGAAGUCUUCAGGUUCUAGUUCAUCAAAAGUACCAUAAACACUACUAACACACAGACAACAAAACGUCUUUACGGAUUUAUCUUUGAAUAGAAAAAACAACAUCAGGUAAAAAAGCCAAGUUACUUCCGUACUAUCCGUUCCGUUGUUUUUACCUAACUUGUCCUUGAGUAACAUAGAGAAUCAUACAAGGAGAUUAAGAUUAACUUGUCAUGUUAAGAAGUCCAUCGACCUGUAGUGGAGAAGGUGAGGAUAAAAUGUACAUUAUUUACGUAAUAGUCGAAGCCACAAUAAUGUAAGAGAACCUAUUACUCGUCCCAUUCACAGUUAGGUUCUCUCUAUCACGACUGUCUGUCGUUCCAGGAGUUCAAGACCCAACUCCUACUCACGUUCUAAAAACCCUAGGGAACGCCAGUAGCGUUUUAGUUUCCGUCCCUACGGUUGUAUUUGGGACUUCGUUAAGUCAAGUAUUUCCAAUGUGAACUUUACUUGUUCUGUUCCCAAGUGUCGAACGCGCGUCGUCUUCUCAAGGAAAACACGCUGUAGUUGCUCUUAAGGUCGUUCGAACUUUUUCUAACAAAGGUCUAUCGGAAACAAUAUAAAAUAGUACCCGGUACACGAACGAGACAAUAUAUGGUCGACAAUAGCUUGUCGGAAUAGUUACGUCCUGUGAAGGUGGCCGUACUGGAUGACAAGAGACGAAGACCAAAGGGGACAUAUUAAACU
RNAcentral lists this ribosomal RNA (1546 nucleotides) under Triticum aestivum (bread wheat). RNAcentral describes it as "partial small subunit ribosomal RNA". Lineage: Eukaryota; Viridiplantae; Streptophyta; Magnoliopsida; Poales; Poaceae. The record is from RNAcentral.